RNAcentral lists this ribosomal RNA (717 nucleotides) under uncultured fungus. Its description in RNAcentral is "eukaryotic LSU rRNA". The stretch from base 314 to 467 matches the Rfam family "5.8S ribosomal RNA". Lineage: Eukaryota; Fungi. The record is from RNAcentral.
CUUGGUCAUUUAGAGGAAGUAAAAGUCGUAACAAGGUUUCCGUAGGUGAACCUGCGGAAGGAUCAUUAAAUUGGCCACCGGGAACUGCAAGCCUGUAAAAGGGUGAACAGUUUUAGACGUUAAAUCAGUAUACUUCUUUACAGAAGGAACUUUUUAAGCACUAUUACUCCGGUGUAUAUUUUAUACCCUAUCUUUUUUUACUUUAGUUGCCUUGGUGGGCCGUCUAGUAUAGCAUCAGUUCCGGCUGAUUGUGUCCACCAGAGGACCCCAAACCCUCUUAUUAGUGAUGUCUGAGGUACUAUUCAAUAGUUAAAACUUUCAACAACGGAUCUCUUGGUUCUGGCAUCGAUGAAGAACGCAGCGAAAUGCGAUAAGUAAUGUGAAUUGCAGAAUUCAGUGAAUCAUCGAAUCUUUGAACGCACAUUGCGCCCGCCGGCACUCUGGCGGGCAUGCCUGUUCGAGCGUCAUUUCAACCCUCGAGCCCGACUCUUUUGAGGACGGCUCGGCGUUGGGGGACGGCAGACUCCCCCCGGCAUCUCGCCGGGGACGCCGCCCCCGAAAUCUAGUGGCGGCCCUCCGAGGCGACCUCUGCGUAGUAACUUGUUCUCGCACCGGAAAGCUCAGAGCGGCCACGCCGUAAAACCCCAACUUUUUUCAGGUUGACCUCGAAUCAGGUAGGACUACCCGCUGAACUUAAGCAUAUCAAUAAGCGGAGGA